UAUGGUAAUGCCAGCCGCCGCGGUAAUACGGAGGAUGCGAGCGUUAUCCGGAUUUAUUGGGUUUAAAGGGAGCGCAGACGGGAGAUUAAGUCAGUUGUGAAAGUUUGCGGCUCAACCGUAAAAUUGCAGUUGAUACUGGUUUCCUUGAGUGCAGUUGAGGCAGGCGGAAUUCGUGGUGUAGCGGUGAAAUGCUUAGAUAUCACGAAGAACCCCGAUUGCGAAGGCAGCUUGCUAAACUGUAACUGACGUUCAUGCUCGAAAGUGUGGGUAUCAAACAGG
RNAcentral lists this ribosomal RNA (279 nucleotides) under Phocaeicola coprocola DSM 17136. RNAcentral describes it as "partial 16S ribosomal RNA". It matches the Rfam family "Bacterial small subunit ribosomal RNA", at positions 498 to 776 of the family's 1533-position model. Lineage: Bacteria; Pseudomonadati; Bacteroidota; Bacteroidia; Bacteroidales; Bacteroidaceae. The record is from RNAcentral.